RNAcentral lists this transfer RNA (76 nucleotides) under Sporolactobacillus nakayamae. RNAcentral describes it as "tRNA_Ala_CGC". It matches the Rfam family "tRNA". Rfam says of the family: Transfer RNA (tRNA) molecules are approximately 80 nucleotides in length. Their secondary structure includes four short double-helical elements and three loops (D, anti-codon, and T loops). RNAcentral also lists the same sequence under 1 other name. The record is from RNAcentral. Lineage: Bacteria; Bacillati; Bacillota; Bacilli; Caryophanales; Sporolactobacillaceae.
GGGGCAUUAGCUCAGCUGGGAGAGCGUUGCCUUCGCAUGGCAGAGGUCAGGGGUUCGAUCCCCCUAUGCUCCACUA